CUAGCGACAGGCCUAACACAUGCAAGUCGAGGGGCAGCACAAGGAGCAAUCUGAGGUGGCGACCGGCGCACGGGUGAGUAACACGUAUGCAACCUGCCUGUAAGCGGGGAAUAACCCGUUGAAAGACGGACUAAUACCGCAUAAUACUAAAUUACUGCAUGGUAAUUUAUUUAAACAUUUAUGGCUUACAGAUGGGCAUGCGCAUGAUUAGCUAGUUGGAGAGGUAACGGCUCCCCAAGGCAACGAUCAUUAGGGGUUCUGAGAGGAAGGUCCCCCACACUGGUACUGAGACACGGACCAGACUCCUACGGGAGGCAGCAGUGAGGAAUAUUGGUCAAUGGACGAGAGUCUGAACCAGCCAAGUCGCGUGCAGGAAGAAUGUCCUAUUGGAUUGUAAACUGCUUUUGCAGGGGAAUAAAGUGCAUCACGUGUGAUGUUUUGUAUGUACUCUGCGAAUAAGGAUCGGCUAACUCCGUGCCAGCAGCUGC
RNAcentral lists this ribosomal RNA (488 nucleotides) under uncultured bacterium. RNAcentral describes it as "bacterial SSU rRNA". It matches the Rfam family "Bacterial small subunit ribosomal RNA", at positions 36 to 518 of the family's 1533-position model. The record is from RNAcentral.